RNAcentral lists this ribosomal RNA (497 nucleotides) under uncultured bacterium. RNAcentral describes it as "partial 16S ribosomal RNA". It matches the Rfam family "Bacterial small subunit ribosomal RNA", at positions 28 to 507 of the family's 1533-position model. The record is from RNAcentral.
GAUGAACGCUGGCGGCGUGCCUAAUACAUGCAAGUCGAGCGAACGGACGAGAAGCUUGCUUUUCUGAUGUUAGCGGCGGACGGGUGAGUAACACGUGGAUAACCUACCUAUAAGACUGGGAUAACUUCGGGAAACCGGAGCUAAUACCGGAUAAUAUUUUGAACCGCAUGGUUCAAAAGUGAAAGACGGUCUUGCUGUCACUUAUAGAUGGAUCCGCGCUGCAUUAGCUAGUUGGUAAGGUAACGGCUUACCAAGGCAACGAUGCAUAGCCGACCUGAGAGGGUGAUCGGCCACACUGGAACUGAGGCACGGUCCAGACUCCUACAGGAGGCAGCGGUAGGGAAUCUUCCGCGAUGGGCGAAAGCCUGACGGAGCAACGCCGCGUGAGUGAUGAAGGUCUUCGGAUCGUAAAACUCUGUUAUUAGGGAAGAACAUAUGUGUAAGUAACUGUGCACAUCUUGACGGUACCUAAUCAGAAAGCCACGGCUAACUACGUG